RNAcentral lists this ribosomal RNA (2902 nucleotides) under Clostridium perfringens. Its description in RNAcentral is "23S ribosomal RNA". It matches the Rfam family "Bacterial large subunit ribosomal RNA". Lineage: Bacteria; Bacillati; Bacillota; Clostridia; Eubacteriales; Clostridiaceae. The record is from RNAcentral.
UCAAGCUACAAAGGGCGCAUGGUGAAUGCCUUGGCAUCAGGAGCCGAUGAAGGACGUGAUAAGCUGCGAUAAGCUUCGGGUAGGCGCACAUAGCCUGAGAUCCGAAGAUCUCCGAAUGAGGAAACUCACAUGGGAAACCCCAUGUAUCAUUAAGUGAAUACAUAGCUUAAUGAAGGUAACCCAGGGAACUGAAACAUCUAAGUACCUGGAGGAAGAGAAAGAAAAAUCGAUUUUCUUAGUAGCGGCGAGCGAAAGGGAAAGAGCCCAAACCGGAAACUUGUUUCCGGGGUUGUGGACAGAACAUAACGAUUGGUAGGACGUAAUCGAAGAGAACUGGAAAGUUCCACCGUAGAAGGUAAUAGUCCUGUAGAUGAAACGGGAAAUCAAUCAGUUCUGAUCCAGAGUACCACGAGACACGUGAAACCUUGUGGGAAGCAGGGAGGACCACCUCCCAAGGCUAAAUACUACCUGAUGACCGAUAGUGAAGCAGUACCGUGAGGGAAAGGUGAAAAGAACCCCGGGAGGGGAGUGAAAUAGAACCUGAAACCGUGUGCCUACAACCGCUCAAAGCCCCUUAUGAGGGUGAUGAGGUGCUUUUUGUAGAACGAGCCAACGAGUUACGGUAUGUAGCAAGGUUAAGUACUUAAGGUACGGAGCCGAAGGGAAACCGAGUCUGAAUAGGGCGACUAGUUGCAUGCCGUAGACCCGAAACCGGGUGACCUAUCCAUGGCCAGGUUGAAGCGAGGGUAAAACCUCGUGGAGGACCGAACCACGUUGCUGUUGAAAAAGCAUGGGAUGAGCUGUGGAUAGCGGAGAAAUUCCAAUCGAACCCGGAGAUAGCUGGUUCUCUCCGAAAUAGCUUUAGGGCUAGCGUCGAGUAUGAGUAGUGGAGGUAGAGCACUGAAUGGGCUAGGGGGCAUAGCGCUUACCGAACCUUAUCAAACUCCGAAUGCCACAUACUUUGAGCUCGGCAGUCAGACUACGAAUGAUAAGAUCCGUGGUCAAAAGGGAAACAGCCCAGAUCGUCAGCUAAGGUCCCAAAGUGUAAGUUAAGUGGGAAAGGAUGUGAGAUUUCUAAGACAACUAGGAUGUUGGCUUAGAAGCAGCCAUUCAUUAAAAGAGUGCGUAAUAGCUCACUAGUCGAGAGAUCUUGCGCCGAAAAUGUAACGGGGCUAAACUUACCACCGAAGCUACGGGCUUGAACUUAGUUCAAGCGGUAGGAGAGCGUCGUAACCGGGCUGAAGUCGUACCGUAAGGAGCGGUGGACUGGUUACGAGUGAGAAUGUUGGCAUCAGUAGCGAGAUGUGGGUGAGAAUCCCACAGGCCGAAAAUCUAAGGUUUCCUCAGGAAGGUUCGUCCGCUGAGGGUUAGUCGGGACCUAAGCCGAGGUCGAAAGGCGUAGGUGAUGGACAACUGGUUGAUAUUCCAGUACCACUACCAUCGUUAUUAUCGAUGGCGUGACGCAGGAGGAUAGUGUGUGCUAGCUAUUGGAUGCUAGUCUAAGCGUUUAGGCAGUGAGAGUAGGCAAAUCCGCUCUCAUAAUGCUGAGGCGUGAUGGGGAAGGUUCUACGGAACCGAAGUACAUGAUUCCACGCUGCCAAGAAAAGCGUCUAGAGAGAGAAGUAGUGCCCGUACCGCAAACCGACACAGGUAGGUGAGGAGAGAAUCCUAAGGCCGGCGGAAGAAUUACAGUUAAGGAACUCGGCAAAUUGACCCCGUAAGUUCGCGAGAAGGGGUGCCUACGAGAGUAGGCCGCAGAGAAUAGGCCCAAGCAACUGUUUAGCAAAAACACAGGUCUCUGCUAAAGCGUAAGCUGAUGUAUAGGGGCUGACGCCUGCCCGGUGCUGGAAGGUUAAGGGGAACACUUAGCGUAAGCGAAGGUGUGAACUUAAGCCCCAGUAAACGGCGGCCGUAACUAUAACGGUCCUAAGGUAGCGAAAUUCCUUGUCAGGUAAGUUCUGACCCGCACGAAUGGCGUAAUGACUUGGGCACUGUCUCAACUGUAAAUCCGGCGAAGUUGUAGUGCGAGUGAAGAUGCUCGCUACCCGCGAUUGGACGGAAAGACCCCGUAGAGCUUUACUGUAGCUUAGCAUUGAGUUUUGGUAUUGUCUGUACAGGAUAGGUGGGAGACUAGGAAACCAGGGCGUCAGCCUUGGUGGAGUCAAUCUUGGGAUACCACCCUGACAGUACUGAAAUUCUAACUGGCGGCCAUGAAUCUGGUCACAGGACAUUGUUAGGUGGGCAGUUUGACUGGGGCGGUCGCCUCCUAAAAAGUAACGGAGGCGCCCAAAGGUUCCCUCAGAACGGUCGGAAAUCGUUCGAAGAGUGCAAAGGCAGAAGGGAGCCUGACUGCGACACCCACAAGUGGAGCAGGGACGAAAGUCGGGCUUAGUGAUCCGGUGGUACCUCGUGGGAGGGCCAUCGCUCAACGGAUAAAAGCUACCUCGGGGAUAACAGGCUGAUCUCCCCCAAGAGUCCACAUCGACGGGGAGGUUUGGCACCUCGAUGUCGGCUCGUCGCAUCCUGGGGCUGAAGUAGGUCCCAAGGGUUGGGCUGUUCGCCCAUUAAAGCGGCACGCGAGCUGGGUUCAGAACGUCGUGAGACAGUUCGGUCCCUAUCCGUCGCGGGCGUAGGAAAUUUGAGAGGAGCUGUCCUUAGUACGAGAGGACCGGGAUGGACUGACCUCUGGUGUACCAGUUGUUCCGCCAGGAGCACAGCUGGGUAGCUAAGUCGGGAAUGGAUAAACGCUGAAAGCAUCUAAGCGUGAAGCCAACCUCAAGAUGAGAUUUCCCAUAGCGUAAGCUAGUAAGAUCCCUUGAAGAACACAAGGUUGAUAGGUCGGGGGUGUAAGCAUGGUAACAUGUUCAGCUGACCGAUACUAAUAGAUCGAGGGCUUGACCAA